AUUGAACGCUGGCGGCAGGCCUAACACAUGCAAGUCGCGCGAGCGGCGGACGGGUGAGUAAUGUAUGGGGACUGCCCGAUAGAGGGGGAUAACUACUGGAAACGGUGGCUAAUACAGCAUACUAUCGGAUCACCCCUAUGGGAUUAGCUCGUAGGUUGGGUAAAGGCUCACCUAGGCGACGCUCUCUAGCUGGUCUGAGAGGAGGAUUAGCCAGACUGGUACUGAGACACGAUCCAGACCGCUGCGGAGGGAGCAGAGAGGAAUAUAGCACAAUGGGAGCAAGCCUGAUGCAGCCAUGCCGCGUGUAGGAAGAAGGCUUAGAAUAGGAGAGUACUUUCAGCGGGGAGGCGUUACCCGAAGAAGAAGCACCGGCUAACUCCGUACCAGCAUACGCGGUGAUAC
This 402-nucleotide ribosomal RNA is filed under the name uncultured bacterium. RNAcentral's name for it is "partial 16S ribosomal RNA". It matches the Rfam family "Bacterial small subunit ribosomal RNA", at positions 30 to 526 of the family's 1533-position model. The record is from RNAcentral.